AUGGAAGAGCAGGCACCUCCUGUUCCAACAUCUCGAAUUUCAGUCAGAAAAGCAGUAGAAGUAAUCCAGACAUUUGACGAUUACAAAAGGUGGCUCCUCACUGAAAUUGGGUUUGGUGGAAUCUUAAAGCUAACCAUGUUGCAGAAGCUUAAUCUUAAGUUCAGCGCAUGGACUAUGAGCAAGGUCUGUGUUGAGCGUCGAGCAAUUGUUCUAUCAGAAACAAAAGUACUCAAGUUUUUUGCGGAGGACAUCCACAAGGUGUUCGGCAUACCAUGUGGCCACCGGAAUGUUAAAGGCCGCGAUGGGUUCAUCAAGCCAGAGGCUGUGACCUUCAUAAAGAGGACGCUAGGGAUGGACAGGACGGGUGUGCAUAGUCUACGCGCGGCUGAGGAAUUCGUUAUGCGCGACAUUUCUGAGGCGUCCAGCAAGAUAGAGAAGGAUUGCUUCCAAAUUGCAUUUGUCAUUUUUGAUAUGGGACACGUUCUGGCACCUAGGACAAAACACGAUUAUGGCACCAUAGACUAUUGGGGUGCACUUGCAAACACGGAGAAUAUCACGCAAUAUAAUUGGUGUGAGUUUGUACUGGAGUUUUCGCUCGAGGCAGUCCGGCGGCUUAGGAAUGAUAUGAUGGCCAACAACCAUAGUACAAACCUGGUUGGUUGCCACUUGUUUCUCUAG
Molecule: ribosomal RNA, 678 nt
Filed under: Triticum aestivum (bread wheat)
Lineage: Eukaryota; Viridiplantae; Streptophyta; Magnoliopsida; Poales; Poaceae
Description: partial small subunit ribosomal RNA
Source: RNAcentral